Molecule: long non-coding RNA, 1307 nt
Organism: Macaca mulatta (Rhesus monkey)
Lineage: Eukaryota; Metazoa; Chordata; Mammalia; Primates; Cercopithecidae
Source: RefSeq, a predicted model, not a curated record
UUUGCCCAUAUCUGAGCAGAAACAAUAGACCUUGUUGGAUCAUUUAAAAUUUUGCUAAGAUUUCUGCAUGAUUUUUUAGCCGUGUAGUAUUUUUUUUUUCUUGGUUAGCAAGUUUUCGUUGGUUUUGGUUUUUAGCAUUUUGAAUUUAUCAGCCUACUGCCUUCUGACUUCCAAAGUUUCCGAAGGGAAGUCUGAUGAUAAUCUUCUUUAGGACUCCUCAGAUGGGAUCAGUCGCUUCUGUCUUGUGGUUUUCGACAGUUGAAUCACACUGUGCUUCGGGGUGGGUCUCUGCCUUCAUCCUGCCUGAAGUUCGCUGACUUUCUUGGAUGUUUAUGUUAAAUAGUGACACUGACAGGUCUAAGAAUGUCCCCUGUACCGUGGUGAGUGAAAUGGAGGAGCACACCCACGAGAGUUCUCAGAUCUUCCAACCACCCAACACGUGUGGGUUGUGUUCCAUUUUCUCUUCCUACAACCAUGUUCCUUCCUAACGAAAAUGACUAGGUCACCGCCCAAUGUAAUCACAUAUCUGAAUCUGGUCACACACCCUAUGCUUGGCACCGGUCACAUCUACUUUGCCCCCAGCCUUUGGGGUCCCUACUCUUGAGGUCCUGAACAUUCACAGAGAACAGAUCUCAUUCGGUGCAGGAGGGGGGCAGAAAGGAUUUGCAAGAUGAAGUAGGCCAAGUCUUGUAACACCUGUUGUAGGUAGAAGUAAUAAUGGGCCCCAAAGAUAUCCAUGUCUUGAUUCCCAGAACCUGCGCAUAUAUUGCCUUCCAUAGCAAGGGAAAUGAAGGUUGCGGAUGGAAUGAAGGUUGCUGAUCAGCUGAGCUUGAGAUGAGAAGACAUUACUGGAUUACCCAGAGCCUCCAGAAGAGAGCCAGCCCUGCUGAUACCUUGAUGGGAGCCCCAGGAAGCUAAUUUCAGACUUCUUACCUCCAGAACUGAAAGCAAAGAAAUGUGCAUUGUUUUAAGCUGCAAAGUCUGUGACGCUUUGUCCUAGAAGCAAGAGGAAGCUGAGCUAACCCCCUUAAGCAGCUGAAGGAAAUCAAGUCAACAGCAACUGAAGUCAUUAGAGUGACUCAGAUUCCCAUGGGGGAUGUUUUUCCUUGCUCUUGGUUUUGCUCAAGACCUAGGAUCUGAUUUUGGUUGGUGCAAAAGCCACCAAAGUUACCAAGAUUAGGGGGAAUGGAAUUCAGGGCUGAGGGGGGAUGUACGAAGCCCAGAGCAGGAGCCGAAGAGCCAACAGAUAUUGAUUUAAACCACGACACAUUCUUAGCAACGGGGGAUGUGCCUGCAACUGAUGAUCA